GACGAACGCUGGCGGCGUGCUUAACACAUGCAAGUCGAACGGAGCGAAUGAAAGCUUGCUUUUAUAAGCUUAGUAGCAAACGGGUGAGUAACACGUAGACAACCUGCCGACAGGAUGGGGACAACAUUCCGAAAGGAAUGCUAAUACCGAAUGAAGUGCAGGGGAGGCAUCUCCCCUGCAUGAAAGAUGGCCUCUAUAUAUAAGCUAUCACCUGUUGAUGGGUCUGCGUCUGAUUAGCUGGUAGGUGAGGUAACGGCUCACCUAGGCGACGAUCAGUAGCCGGUCUGAGAGGAUGAACGGCCACAUUGGGACUGAGACACGGCCCAGACUCCUACGGGAGGCAGCAGUGGGGAAUCUUCCGCAAUGGGCGCAAGCCUGACGGAGCAACGCCGCGUGAGUGAAGAAGGUCUUCGGAUCGUAAAGCUCUGUUGAUGGGGACGAACGUGCCUAAUGCGAAUAGUUUUAGUAAUGACG
RNAcentral lists this ribosomal RNA (474 nucleotides) under Centipeda noxia. RNAcentral describes it as "bacterial SSU rRNA". It matches the Rfam family "Bacterial small subunit ribosomal RNA", at positions 28 to 474 of the family's 1533-position model. Lineage: Bacteria; Bacillati; Bacillota; Negativicutes; Selenomonadales; Selenomonadaceae. The record is from RNAcentral.